Molecule: long non-coding RNA, 1001 nt
Filed under: Linum usitatissimum (flax)
Lineage: Eukaryota; Viridiplantae; Streptophyta; Magnoliopsida; Malpighiales; Linaceae
Description: long non-coding RNA (LUSI_LNC005587)
Source: RNAcentral
UGAUUAAAAUAAAAAUUACAUGCCAUUCGGCCCCACCUCCACUAUCAAAGUUGUGUCUUCCACUGAUUUCAUCGACCCCGAAAAACAGUGUCUUCGUCAUUGUUUGCAACUUUUCUUCUUCCCCACCUUCAUGCUCCUUCUUCUCGUCAAUAUCCACAACAUUAAUGAUCACUUCCUCAUGAAGUUUUGGGUUCGAAGGAGGAAAGGCGACAAAAAAUCCCCCAACACCACUCAAAUCCUUCAUCUCCCCUUCUCCUUCCAUCCCUUCUUUGUCAUGAUGCCUACUCCUGCUCUUUCAGUGCCGGUGCAGAUCUAUGCCUCCUCCCUCACCGGCCGAGUUUGACACAGUUGGAUCUCAGCUGUAAUCGGCUCACCGGACGAGUUUGUCAUGAUUGGAUCUCAGCUUCAAUCAAGCUCUCGUGGUAAUAGUGGUUCUGGCAACAUAGAUCUAACAACAUAGCUUCAAUCAAUAGUGCCCUUUGUAGAAUCAUCCCUGUUUUGGGAAAUUGAAGAAGAAAGGAGGAUUUUAUUUCAUUUUUUGGAGAAAUAUUUAUAACCGAAAGAAUUGGUUCAUUCAAAUUUUUUCUUAUGUUGUUCUGUUUGCAGGUCGGACGGAACUUUGGUAGAAAGAUUCAAGACUUUAAGGAACAAUAGUGGUAAUUACUUUGAUAGAAGGCUAGCUUUGAAUUGAGAAGUGAAAGUGUAAUGGUGAAUUGAGGGCAGUAUCGUAAUUGUAUUCGUUUUGUUUUAUUCCAAUCAAUAUCACAUGCCAAACAAAGAUUUUUAAUUCAAGUUUCACCUAAUAUCAAUAAAACCAAUAUCACGAUAUCAAUAAAACCAAUAUCACGAUAACUCGAAUGUCAUGUGGCUCCUUACUUAAAUGAUGGAAGAGAUAUUUUUGUCCCUUAUUUUAGUUCCAAGAUCAACUGGUCUUCUAUAUAUAUUUCAUUCUAUGACCCAACAAUUCAAUAUGCUUGAAUCCUGAAGAACAAUUCAAUAAG